AACGAACGCUGGCGGCAGGCUUAACACAUGCAAGUCGAACGGAUCCUUCGUGAUUAGUGGCAGACGGGUGAGUAACGCGUGGGAACGUACCCUUUGCUACGGAAUAACUCAGGUAAACUUGAGCUAAUACCGUAUGUGCCCUACGGGGGCAAGAUUUAUCGGCAAAGGAUCGGCCCGCGUUGGAUUAGCUAGUUGGUGGGGUAAUGGCCUACCAAGGCUUGGAUCCAUAGCUGGGCUGAGAGGAUGAUCAGACACACUCGGACUGAGAAACGGCCCAGACUCCUACGGGAGGCAGCAGAGGGGAAUAUUGGACAAUGGGGGCGAGCAUGAUCCAGCCAUGCCGGGAGAGUGAUGAAGGUCUGAGGAUUGUAAAGCACUUUCACCGGUGAAGAUAAUGACGGUAGCCGAAGAAGAAGCACCGGCUAACUUCGUG
RNAcentral lists this ribosomal RNA (433 nucleotides) under uncultured bacterium. RNAcentral's name for it is "partial 16S ribosomal RNA". It matches the Rfam family "Bacterial small subunit ribosomal RNA", at positions 29 to 507 of the family's 1533-position model. The record is from RNAcentral.